This 243-nucleotide long non-coding RNA is filed under the name Lathyrus oleraceus (garden pea). RNAcentral's name for it is "Pisum sativum (pea) long non-coding RNA (PSAT_LNC013940)". The record is from RNAcentral. Lineage: Eukaryota; Viridiplantae; Streptophyta; Magnoliopsida; Fabales; Fabaceae.
AACAAGGAAAAAUAAGUCACCUUUGAAAUUAUGGAGCAAAGAAAAAGAAAAGAAAGAAAAAACAAAAAGAAAGCUCAUGGUUGUGUGGAUGUGAAAAAUAAGAAAAGAAGAAAGAUUGGGAUCAAAAAACGGAUAAGUCACCUUUGAAAUUAUGGAGCAAAGAAAAAGAAAAGAAAGAAAAAACAAAAAGAAAGCUCAUGGUUGUGUGGAUGUGAAAAAUAAGAAAAGAAGAAAGAUUGGGAU